This 70-nucleotide transfer RNA is filed under the name Rattus norvegicus (Norway rat). It matches the Rfam family "tRNA". From Rfam's summary of the family: Transfer RNA (tRNA) molecules are approximately 80 nucleotides in length. Their secondary structure includes four short double-helical elements and three loops (D, anti-codon, and T loops). Lineage: Eukaryota; Metazoa; Chordata; Mammalia; Rodentia; Muridae. The record is from Rfam by way of RNAcentral.
GGGGAUUUAGCUCAGCGGUAGAGCACUUGCCUAGGAAGCAUAAGGCCCUGGGUUCGGUUCCCCAGCUCUA